CUGGCGAAGAGCUUGUUUCUGUAUUUCAGUUGGGGGGUAAGACCUUACCAAGGCACUAUCAGAAGCUGGNCUGAGAGGAUGAGCAGCCACACUGGGACUGAGACACGGCCCACACUCCUACGGGAGCCAGCAUGGGGAAUUUUCCCCAAUGGGGGAAACCCUGACGGACAACGCCGCGGGAGGGAGGAAGGCCUUUGGGUUGGAAACCUCUUUUCUCAGGGAAGAAGUUCUGNCNNUCCUUGAUGGAUUAUCCUCGGNUAACUCCGUGCCAGCCNGCCGGCGGNAAUAGGGGCAAACCACCCCCCCCA
Molecule: ribosomal RNA, 308 nt
Filed under: uncultured bacterium
Lineage: Bacteria
Description: partial 16S ribosomal RNA
Rfam family: Bacterial small subunit ribosomal RNA
Source: RNAcentral